This 497-nucleotide ribosomal RNA is filed under the name uncultured bacterium. RNAcentral's name for it is "partial 16S ribosomal RNA". It matches the Rfam family "Bacterial small subunit ribosomal RNA", at positions 28 to 507 of the family's 1533-position model. The record is from RNAcentral.
GACGAACGCUGGCGGCGUGCCUAAUACAUGCAAGUCGAGCGAACGGACCCGAAGCUUGCUUCUCUCAUUUUAGCGGCGCACGGGUGAGUAACACGUGGAUAACCUACCUAUCAGACUGGGAUAACUUCGGGAAACGGGAGCUAAUACCGGAUAAUAUUUUGAACCGCAUGGUUCAAAGGUGAAAUACGGUCUUUCUUUCUGUUCUAGCUUGAUCCCCGCUGCAUUAGCUAGUUGGUAAGGUAACGGCUUACCAAGGCCACGAUGCAUAGCCGACCUGAGAGGGUGAUCGGCCACACUGGAACUGAGACACGGUCCAGACUCCUACGGGAGGCAGCAGUAGGGAAUCUUCCGCAAUGGGCGAAAGCCUGACGGAGCAACGCCGCGUGAGUGAUGAAGGUCUUCGGAUCGUAAAACUCUGUUAUUAGGGAAGAACAUAUGUGUAAGUAACUGUGAACAUCUUGACGGUACCUAAUCAGAAAGCCACGGCUAACUACGUG